UACACACCGCCCGUCACGUCAUGGAAGCCGAGAACGAUUGAAGUCGCUGAGCUAACCCGCAAGGGAGGCAGGCGCCGAGGUCGGGUUCGGUAACUGGGGCG
This 101-nucleotide ribosomal RNA is filed under the name uncultured bacterium. RNAcentral's name for it is "partial 16S ribosomal RNA". It matches the Rfam family "Bacterial small subunit ribosomal RNA", at positions 1384 to 1482 of the family's 1533-position model. The record is from RNAcentral.